UUGCUUUGGCAGCAUAUAUACCAAAAUUGGAACAAUACAGAGAAGAUUAGCAUGGGCCUCUGCACAAGGAUGACAUACAAAUUCAUGAAGCGUUCCACAUCUUU
This is a small nuclear RNA of Protopterus annectens (West African lungfish), 104 nucleotides long. NCBI's taxonomy places the organism in Eukaryota, Metazoa, Chordata, Ceratodontiformes, Protopteridae. The record is from RefSeq and is a predicted model, not a curated record.